UAGCUCAGUUGGUAGAGCAGUUGACUUUUAAUCAAUUGGUCGCAGGUUCGAAUUAAAGGUGGUUACUGGUAGAGAACGUGAAGGAUAACGUUGCGUUAGCAACGGCCCGAAGGGCGAGACGAAGUCCAGUCAUCCUGCACGACCCACCA
This 149-nucleotide transfer RNA is filed under the name Escherichia coli. Its description in RNAcentral is "RtT sRNA". It matches the Rfam family "RtT RNA". From Rfam's summary of the family: This family represents a bacterial cis-regulatory element known as RtT RNA. Lineage: Bacteria; Pseudomonadati; Pseudomonadota; Gammaproteobacteria; Enterobacterales; Enterobacteriaceae. The record is from RNAcentral.